UCCAGACUCCUACGGGAGGCAGCAGUGGGGGAUAUUGCACAAUGGGGGAAACCCUGAUGCAGCGACGCCGCGUGAGUGAAGAAGUAUUUCGGUAUGUAAAGCUCUAUCAGCAGGGAAGAACAAAGACGGUACCUGACUAAGAAGCCCCGGCUAACUACGUGCCAGCAGCCGCGGUAAUACGUAGGGGGCAAGCGUUAUCCGGAUUUACUGGGUGUAAAGGGAGCGUAGACGGCAAUACAAGUCGGAAGUGAAAUACCCGGGCUUAACCUGGGAACUGCUUUGGAAACUGUAUGGCUGGAGUGCUGGAGAGGUAAGCGGAAUUCCUAGUGUAGCGGUGAAAUGCGUAGAUAUUAGGAGGAACACCAGUGGCGAAGGCGGCUUACUGGACAGUAACUGACGUUGAGGCUCGAAAGCGUGGGGAGCAAACAGGAUUAGAUACCCCUGUAU
RNAcentral lists this ribosomal RNA (447 nucleotides) under uncultured bacterium. Its description in RNAcentral is "bacterial SSU rRNA". It matches the Rfam family "Bacterial small subunit ribosomal RNA", at positions 330 to 793 of the family's 1533-position model. The record is from RNAcentral.